Long non-coding RNA from Siniperca chuatsi (mandarin fish), 2922 nucleotides. RefSeq lists it as uncharacterized. The transcript is spliced from 4 exons. The record is from RefSeq and is a predicted model, not a curated record. NCBI's taxonomy places the organism in Eukaryota, Metazoa, Chordata, Actinopteri, Centrarchiformes, Sinipercidae.
GAUUAGAUUGUCUUCGUCCCUGUGUCAAGUGUUGUCGCUCUUUUCCCAGUGGUCUCUUGUGUCUUUUGGGGUUUUCUUCCUGGUUUAUUUGGACCUUGCAUGGAUUGUGGACUGCAUAACCCCUGUUGAAAUUGUUUACCUGUGGACUGCUUUUCCUGGUUUGGACAUUGCUUGCACAAUCCAUAUAAGCCCUUGUGUUUUUUUCUUUUUUUCUUUUGUCAUUAAAUCACUGAACUACACUAGCCCUGCCUGUGCAUCUGUAUUUGGGUCCAACCCUGCAUUCCUGGUUCUCCGGCUUGACAAACCACAACAACCUGUUAACAUUAAUGUUUCGUGAAAUGUCUGUAAGAUGUGCUGUUGGAGUUUAUGGAAUGGUCUUACACUAUAUAUUCUCUCCAGAGGGACAUGGGUUAAUUUUGUUUCUCCUGUGUGAUAAGUUUUUACAAGUAACGUUAGAGACAAACAGCUCAGUCAAUCACAAUCAACUGGAGCUGUGUUAAGACAAAUGAGUGUUUCAUUUCAGCUAUCUGGUGUUCCUCCAGCCAAGGGCAUUGAUUGACUUCUGCUAUGCUUUGACUGAUGUUCCAAAGUCUUCAUUAUAAUAAAUGCAGAAUUUGUAUUACAACCAUCCCCUGCAGUCCAGCGCAUUCUACAGGUCACAGAUCAUGAAGCUCUCAUCCAGGGAUCCAUUGAGGAGGCCACAGUGGGAGUGCAGAGUAUCAAAGACCAAGAUACCAGCAUGUAAACCAGUGCACAUCGGGACUGUCUUCAAGAGCAAGAUGGUGUUGCAGAGAACUGCAUUUGCGGCUGCCAUUUUGCUUGAGCCUAAACUAUCCUACUGAACUGAAGUCCACCUUUAAAGCACUCCAGGUUGUCAUACAGCUGGAAAGCAACCCUCCAGGAUCAGUAUCAAAGACUAUCAGUAUGCUGUUACCAAUGUGUAAUGGCGUGACCGACAGGAUGCAGUUUUCCGUGUUCACCAUCUUGGGUAAUGGACAUUAUUGCUCCCUCCAUUGCACUGAUUGUGGACUGUUAAUCAUUCUAAAAGCAUUUACUUAAUCUCACAUGGACUUGGACUGUGUGUAUGAUGCCUCCCUGCUUUUUAAGUAAGUCUUUGUGUUUUUUAUGUUUUUUUUAAAGACAUGUUUCUCUUAUCUUCUACUUGUGGAUGUUUAAUUUUUCUCUCCUGAUAUUGUGCUUGUUCCUUUUGAUAAAACUGCAGUGUUUUUAAUAAAUACUCCUACAAAGACAUUUAAAAGUCCAGUGACACGAUUAAAUGAUGUGAAGUAAGUCAGAACUUGUAUUUGCACCACAUUACUGUGUCAUUAACUAUUGAUCUUGAUUGAAAAAUAUUAGUAUUUAUCAUAAGGCAGAUGUUAAGUACCAACAAUACAUCUAAGUGGUACAAUGUUCUUUGACCAAAUACAAACAUUUUUGUGCAAGAAAUGUAUUUGUUUAUUGCCAUAUUUGCACCUAAACAUGGAACGAUGUCAACAUUUGGAUAGUUGACUAACAAAUAACUUAGAUUUACAGACAUAAUAGGGACAUAAUGAAAUUGCUUUAAAGUUACAUAAUACCUUUUGAAUAAUCUUAGCAUUAAGAAAUCAAGUUUGCGUUGCAGUUGACAAUCAGGUACACUGGACAUGAUGAAAUUACUUUAACAUUACACAAUCAGUUGGUAUUACAGUUACUGACAAUGUUGAAUCAACAUGAUUGAGUCUAAUGUGAAUGGCAUAUCUUGGCAUGACAAGCAAUAAUUAAUUGAGAAAAGGAGGAAAACUGUCAGUUGGCCACAUUCUGAUCAUGCAGGACCGAUGUACACAUUAAUAUCAAGUAAGGGCGGGCAGCGAGGCACCACCACACACUUCUAGUGGGUCAUAAGUGAUGAUUGAUACAAAUAAUACAAAUACAAAUAUUUGUAUUUGUAUUAUUUGUAUGAGUUUAUAUAUUCUUUUUAGGAAAAUCCUACUUAUCCUAACACCCAACCAAUGUUUGCAUUUGGUACUCAGAUACCACAACUGUGAUUAUUUAUUCAUCAAACUCAGUGGAUCAAGAUCCUCUAUCACUCAACUUGAUGUCAUUCUUGUUUAGUUGUUGUUCUUCCACAUCUGCUACAUGAGCAUUCCAGCACAAUUAGCUCUAAUUCUUAUAUGUAGAUAACCUUAUAUUGAUAAAACACCACUGACUACUUUAAAAUCACUUUAUGUAUCUGAAAAAAGAGUGAAUACUGUAUAUAACUAAAGUCAAGAAAAAAUAGCUGUGCAAAUUUGAGAAUUACACUAAGAAUUGGAUUCACUUUAUUCAUCAACUCAAGUAAAUUUUAAAAAACAACUGCAGACAUUUAUGUGCAAUGAAUAGCAACUCCAAUACUGUGCAAAGUAACAAAACAAAACAUGAAAUGUAAAAUAGAUUUAAUAUCUUUACAAGAUGACAACAACAAAUGUCAGUAGUACGAAUAGUCAUUUCAUCUGUAAACGCAAAGGUAAAUUGCUAUUUACAGCUAUCACAAUACACAGCCACACAGGCGUUACUGGAGCUAUGCUGGGAAUCACGUGAAGUCACCUGACUCCAUGUACCAAUAAGAAUGAUAAAGAUGCAAUUUAGUCCCAAGAUGUCAAUCAUGCCCAGUCUGUACACGCCCACACAAUCCUGAGGCACGAUCUAAUCAGCCAAAAUAAGUGAAAUCACCUGUGUGGGUGAGAUUUACAAAGUAAAAUUCAUGACAAAAAUGCAUCGUCAAAACUGAGAAGUAUUCAACCCUCUAAUAUGCAAGCUUCUUUUGAGAUUCUGUUUGCUGGCGUUCAAGAUGCAUUUUGAUGCUAGACACAACCAACAAGUUAAGAAAACAUGAUUGAGUUACUUUAAAAAAAUUUUUUGGCCACUUAGGGGCAGCAGAAACAAGUUGUGAACACAACAUUGACA